Arachis ipaensis is the source of this 368-nucleotide non-coding RNA. The record is from RefSeq and is a predicted model, not a curated record. NCBI's taxonomy places the organism in Eukaryota, Viridiplantae, Streptophyta, Magnoliopsida, Fabales, Fabaceae.
UGCAGCGUGAAAAGCCACAGGGAGAAGAAAAUACUCCCGAACCCUUACGGUAACCUUCCAACCCCCGUAACUUCUCCAUCCGAGCUUCGAUUGCUGCACCGUUUGCGGCCACGCGUCCACCGCGUCGAGCUCUACAUUUUUACCGGAAUAAUUUCACUGGAUCCAAUUAGUUUGAGAAAAACGUUCACUCUUGCUUAUGUGAAGCUUGGGUAAGGUUGAAAAUAAAUAAUUGGAGCUUGAAAUUGUGAAUACUGGAACUUGGAGGAAGCGAAUUAGUUGAGGUUUUGAGGGCUGUGUUCUUUUAGGAAAUUUUUCUUGGAAUAAUACUUGGAAAUUGGCUAAGAUGCAGGUCGAGAGGCAUCUCGUUA